RNAcentral lists this ribosomal RNA (460 nucleotides) under uncultured bacterium. Its description in RNAcentral is "partial 16S ribosomal RNA". It matches the Rfam family "Bacterial small subunit ribosomal RNA", at positions 338 to 795 of the family's 1533-position model. The record is from RNAcentral.
CCUACGGGGUGCAGCAGUGAGGAAUAUUGGUCAAUGGACGCAAGUCUGAACCAGCCAUGCCGCGUGCAGGAAGACGGCUCUAUGAGUUGUAAACUGCUUUUGUACGAGGGUAAACGCAGAUACGCGUAUCUGUCUGAAAGUAUCGUACGAAUAAGGAUCGGCUAACUCCGUGCCAGCAGCCGCGGUAAUACGGAGGAUUCAAGCGUUAUCCGGAUUUAUUGGGUUUAAGGGGUGCGUAGGCGGUCGGAUAAGUUAGAGGUGAAAUCCCGAGGCUCAACUUGGGAAUUGCAUCUGAUACUGUUCGGCUUGAGAGUAGUUGAGGUAGGCGGAAUGUAUGGUGUAGCGGUGAAAUGCUUAGAGAUCAUACAGAACACCGAUUGCGAAGGCAGCUUACCAAGCUACUUCUGACGUUGAGGUACGAAAGCGUGGGGAGCAAACAGGAUUAGAUACCCGAGUAGUC